UGUCAUCCUUUCCUUUCCGUGAAAUUGUUUAUGGAAUAUGAAAGCAAAUUGUUAUUUUUAUUUUAGGCCUAUUACUUACAUAGGCUACACAUUUUCCUUAAAGCAUCCCAUUUUGUCCCAGGGCUUGAAAACCUGUGCCUAGGCUAGUUAGGUCCAUGCAGAAACUUGUGAACGAUGCUCUUAGUUGUGGCAUCACCGUUUAGUGACAUCAUUGAAUGCUCCGGGAAAACGUAUAGUCAGUGUCGGUCACAGCGCCU
Molecule: long non-coding RNA, 257 nt
Organism: Sinocyclocheilus rhinocerous
Lineage: Eukaryota; Metazoa; Chordata; Actinopteri; Cypriniformes; Cyprinidae
Exons: 2
Source: RefSeq, a predicted model, not a curated record